This 85-nucleotide non-coding RNA is filed under the name unclassified sequences. Its description in RNAcentral is "skipping-rope RNA". It matches the Rfam family "skipping-rope RNA". From Rfam's summary of the family: Firmicutes, Fusobacteria, AlphaProteobacteria, Spirochaetes. Downstream gene The record is from Rfam by way of RNAcentral.
UGGCUCUGAGGUGGAGAUUAUGUCCCGACCACGCGCCCUUGUGGCUAAAAGAGAUGCAGGAUUAUAGGGACGCCUGCCAGAGCCA